UACGUAGGGUGCAAGCGUUGUCCGGAAUUAUUGGGCGUAAAGAGCUCGUAGGCGGUCUGUCGCGUCUGCCGUGAAACCCGAGGCUUAACCUCGGGCCUGCGGUGGAGUACGGGCAGACGUAGAGGUAGGUAGGGGAGAAUGGAAUUCCCGGUGUAGCGGUGAAAUGCGCAGAUAUCGGGAGGAACACCGGUGGCGAAGGCGGUUCUCUGGGCCUUACCUGACGCUGAGGAGCG
RNAcentral lists this ribosomal RNA (233 nucleotides) under uncultured bacterium. Its description in RNAcentral is "partial 16S ribosomal RNA". It matches the Rfam family "Bacterial small subunit ribosomal RNA", at positions 524 to 755 of the family's 1533-position model. The record is from RNAcentral.